GGUCGCAAGUUGGAGGCCACAGCAGAAACGCUUAUGGCGCAGGCCUGUCAGAUUCCAACGAAUCUGCAAAUUCUGCU
RNAcentral lists this ribozyme (77 nucleotides) under Crocodylus porosus (Australian saltwater crocodile). RNAcentral describes it as "Mammalian CPEB3 ribozyme (ENSCPRG00005001466.1)". It matches the Rfam family "Mammalian CPEB3 ribozyme". Rfam says of the family: The mammalian CPEB3 ribozyme is a self cleaving RNA located in the second intron of the CPEB3 gene which belongs to a family of genes regulating messenger RNA polyadenylation. This ribozyme is highly conserved and found only in mammals. There is currently only one other known self cleaving ribozyme in mammals, the CoTC motif. Lineage: Eukaryota; Metazoa; Chordata; Crocodylia; Crocodylidae. The record is from Rfam by way of RNAcentral.